GUCUUCUUAAAUCCGCAUUUCUUUCGUCUUUUCGUCUACUCAAAGCUGGAGAGGAAAUCGAAAUCCCGAGCCUAGGGUUUUUGAACAUACUGUAGUAUGAAAUAUCUGUGUCUCUGAAUCUAUCAAUCCACUGCGGACUUCAAAUCCUUCACUUCUUAAGGGGUCGUCAGUUGGAAAGUUUAUCCGAUAGUUUCCUCACAGGAACAUAUUUUUAAUAACCAUAUCUUAAGAAAGAAAAGAUGUCUGGAAGAAAUCGAGGACCCCCUCUUCCAUUGAAAGGAGCUCCUCAUGCUGGAUUGCCCCCUGCAGUUCGUGAAGUGCCAUUUGGCAGGGGGGUUGGGCCAAUGCCCCAUCCAGCUCUACUUGAGGAGAUGAGAGAAUCCCAUUUCGGAAUGGGUCCCAGGCCGCUUCCUCCUCAUCCUGCAAUAAUUCAGGAGGGUCUUGAUGCUCAGUAUCAAGAAAUUCAGGGUCUCUUAGUCGAUAACCAGAGGCUAGCUGCCACCCAUGUUGCCCUUAAGCAGGAACUGGAAGCCACCCAGCAUGAGUUGCAAAGAAUGGGUCACUUUGCAGACUCCUUGCGGGCGGAGAAGGACGGUCAGAUGAGAGAAUUGUAUGAGAAGUCUGUUCAUUUGGAGGUGGAUCUUCGUGGGGUUGAGGCUAUGCGUGCUGAGCUUAUUCAAGUUCGUGUUGAUAUUAAAGAGCUGAGUGUCGCAAGGCAGGAGCUGACAGGUCAGGUACAAGCGAUGACACAAGAUUUGGCUAGACUUACAGCAGAUUUGCAACAGGCGCCAGCAUUACGGGCAGAAAUUGAGUCUAUGAAGCAGGAGUUGCAACGUGCAAAAGCGGCCAUUGAGUAUGAGAAGAAAGGAUAUGCAGACAAUUAUGAGCAUGGUCAAGUGAUGGAGAAGAAGCUGCUCUCAAUGGCUCGAGAAUUGGAGAAGCUUCGUGCAGAGAUUGCUAAUGCAGAGAAGAGAGCUCGUGCUGCUGCUGCUGUUGGGAACCCAGGGACAGGCUACAACGUGAAUUAUGGCAAUCCUGAGGCAGGUUAUGCAGGAAAUCUUUAUCCUGCUAACUAUGGCAUGAAUCCUGUACAGGCAGGUGCAGAAAAUUUCCCCCAUUAUGGACCUGGUCCUGCUUCCUGGAGUGCCUAUGAAAUGCAACGAGCUCAAGGACACAGAUAGACUUUUGUCACUAUCACACCAAGCUGUGUUAGAACUGCACGGAAGCUAUUUGAACGAUAUUGCAAAAUGUUCCUUGCACCAAAUGGAAACUCCCUCUCUUAUACAUAGGGGAUGGAGAGUGGGGUAUGACUUUAAUUCUGUACGGGUGGGUGAAUUGUAUAUUACUUAUAAAUUGUUUGAGAAAAAUCUAUUUGAAUUAAAAUCUGAAUUGUUUGAAUUUACUUGCUGUUUUGAUAGGUAAAUUUUGACUGAUGGAGUUGUUUCUUGUGGUACUUUUUUUCCCCAAUAACCUUGCACAACAUAGCUGUUGCUAUGUUUAUUUCUUUUUUCCUGCCAGUUUCUCUAGCCUUUUUUUUUAAUCAAAAUUAGGAGCAAGGACUAUGCAAACAUAUUUUCAAUAACAAGUAAGGUGAAAUGAAGUGGUGAAGAAUAGAUAUAGUCUUUAAGGGAAAUGAAUCUUCUAAAGCGAGAUUAGGCAUUAUUUAUUAGAAGGAAUAACCAUUAUUUGUAAAAUGCUAAUUCUGAGGUUAGAAUGUGAGGUGCUUGUUGAAGUUGAGUUCUGAGUUAUACUCCCAUUUAAAUAAUUACAAGCAACCUUGACUCCCAGUGAGUCAGAAAUUUCUAAGACAAGAACUUCUAUAGUGAACAGCAUUGUCAGUUGUUUUGUUGCUGAAAAUAGUGCUUCCAACUAUGGAAUCUUGAGUUUAGACAUUCUGGUUUAUGGAGAAAUUGUUGGGGGUUUUAACAAAUAGGCCCAAUGGCAUGUAUGACCUCUUCUAUGGGAUAUUUUUUGCAAGUAUGCUAACUAGGGGAUGUUUGGGGAAUGAGAUGAGAUGAGAAAUCUAUGAAUAGUAGUGAAAAUGGUUUAUGAAUAGUAGUGAAAAGGUUUGCGUUAUGAUGUUUUAUGGGAUUUUGGAAAAAGAGAGAAAAAGUUGAAUAAAAAUAUUAUAAAGUUAAAAUAUUGUUAGAAUAUAAGUUUUUAAUAUUAUUUUUGUUUUGGGAUUUGAAAAAGUUGAAAUGUUUUUUGCUUUUUGUUUGGAAGUUUAGGAAAUUUAUAAGGUUGGGUAAUGAUUAGAUCAAAAAAGGUUAAAGAUUUGAAAUUGAAAAGUGUUUGUGUUUGAAUGAUAUUUGUGAAGGAGAUGAGAUGAGAUGAGUUGUCAUGAGAUAAGAUGGGGUGGGAUGAGAUGAGAUGAAAUCAUCCCAUCUUCCAAACAAGCCCUAAUUGGGUCUUCUUUUUCUGCCCUGGGUGAAAGAUCUUUGAAGCAGUUAUUUUCAUGUAGACCUCAAUUUAACUUUUUCUCGCAUGAAGAUCUAAUUACUUAUCUAAAACUUAUCCUUAAGUCCAGUGCGUUGUCUUGACAUUGUUUUACCCCUUGUGAACUUUAAGGUAUAUUUUACUUAUAAAAAAAAGGAACUUUAAAGUAUAUGUGUUUGACCAUAUUGCUUAUCAAAAAAUAAAAAAUAUUUGUUUGACCAUAUUGAAUUGAUUUUUUUUUUUUUUGUGGGUAAACAUAUUGAAUUAAAUUUAGUGAGCUUUAUUUAGGAGUACGUUUCUCAGAUAUUAACAAGUUAUUCCAUGAUUUCUCCUUUUAGUUGAGUGGCAGUAAUAAAUUUUGAAUAUUUUCAGUAUUUUGGUCUAGUCAUACUUGAGUAGUGAUUUUAAUAAGUUUGGUACCAUGUCCUUUCAUUUUUGGAGUUCUGUUUCCUUUUGUUGUUUGCCAUAUGUAGGAUUAUUUUUCUUGCAUGGUCUGCAACAUAUUUUUGUGUGCGCUUGACAGUUGACACACAUAUUUUUAUUUCCAGGUUUUCAACGUGCUGUCUCUAAAAUUCUUCUGCUUCUGCCAUCCGUCAAUCCAUGAGGUUGUUAUCCUGUAAAGUGGCACAAGCUAGAAACCCGAGCUGUUUCAUUCCCUGUGCCAAACCCCACCUAGCCUUUAUAGGGGCUGCCCGAGAUCAGUGGCCUGGCUAGAUCAGACUGGUGUAUAGAAUCGUGUCCACGGACGUAUAUCACCAAUAUGGUUUCUAUACUGCAGUGGGUUUUGAUCCGUGCUUCUUGAUCCAUCAUUCUGACUUGUAUUUCUUUCAGUUUCGGCCUCACCUCCGUGGUUGCGCAAAACAAUGAAAUCAUCUUUAAAUUUUAAUGGGGAUAUGAAAGUUACUUUGGUUCGAACACCUAUGGGCAUAAUGGGCUGGUUUGUGAAGGCUACUUUGUCGGUUAACUACAACUACUGAUGGUGAUCGUGACGAGGAUGAUGAAAAUUAAGUAUGAGCUAUUGGUUUUGGGUUUUGACGAGUACACUCAGAUCUUUGGAAAGAGUGAACAAACUGACUAUGAACCACGGCAAGAGUUCUGAUGCCUCUGCGGUCGAGCGGAUGCAGAUGAUGAAAUGCAUCUGAAGAGCCUAGUUAUGGUUCCCGUAUGUUAUUUGAUGCAAUGCAUCACCAGCCAGGUCUGAGGUAGCAUAGAGGACAUUUCCUGUGAUUACCAGAACAUAAACAGCACAAUCAUCAUUAUUACCGAUUCAGCUCUUAUCAUACCGAUUCCAUUCUA
RNA transcript from Carya illinoinensis, 3732 nucleotides. It is a transcript of the gene named protein FLX-like 1, with no coding region annotated. The record is from RefSeq and is a predicted model, not a curated record. Lineage: Eukaryota; Viridiplantae; Streptophyta; Magnoliopsida; Fagales; Juglandaceae. The transcript has 7 exons.